AACGUAGGACGCAAGCGUUAUCCGGAGUUACUGGGCGUAAAGGGCGUGUAGGUGGUUUCGUAAGUCUGGCGUGAAAUUUUUCGGCUUAACCGGGAAAGGUCGUCGGAUACUGCAGAACUAGAGGACGGUAGAGGCGUGUGGAAUUCCGGGUGUAGUGGUGAAAUGCGUAGAGAUCCGGAGGAACACCAGUGGCGAAGGCGACACGCUGGGCCGUACCUGACACUGAUGCGCGACAGCAUGGGGAGCAAACAGG
RNAcentral lists this ribosomal RNA (253 nucleotides) under uncultured bacterium. RNAcentral describes it as "partial 16S ribosomal RNA". It matches the Rfam family "Bacterial small subunit ribosomal RNA", at positions 524 to 776 of the family's 1533-position model. The record is from RNAcentral.